RNAcentral lists this long non-coding RNA (411 nucleotides) under Homo sapiens (human). RNAcentral describes it as "non-protein coding lnc-LAMA2-4:1". The record is from RNAcentral. Lineage: Eukaryota; Metazoa; Chordata; Mammalia; Primates; Hominidae.
CCUCUGCUUGGUUUUGAGAUCAAGAAAAAAGAACUCCUAAUUCUAUUUCCCUUGCAGAGGAGAAGCACAGCACACAAACUUGCCAAAAAUUCUCUACUAAAUUCCUCCAAGACUUUUAUACACUCAGUAGGUGAGGUACUAAAGACUCCCCCAAAGCCAGUUUAGAGUGGUAUAAUCCUGUUUUCCAAAGGCCUUGUGUUGUUUGUACAAUUAAAAUUUUAAAAAUUACAAUCUUAUUUCUAUUAAUAAAAAAUGCAAAUUAAAACAACAUAAGAUAUCAUUGUUCAUUUAUGCUGCUAACUGGAACGAAAACAAAAAACUCAGUUCAAUAACAAGUACAUAUAAAGUUGGUAUAAAUAAAUCCAAACACAGCAGUAGUCACAAUAUAAUAAAUGGGUUAGUCUCUCAAGU